Molecule: microRNA precursor, 109 nt
Filed under: Gorilla gorilla (western gorilla)
Lineage: Eukaryota; Metazoa; Chordata; Mammalia; Primates; Hominidae
Also listed under: 1 other name
Description: microRNA ggo-mir-122 precursor
Gene: ggo-mir-122
Rfam family: mir-122 microRNA precursor family (bases 13-85)
About the family: In mammals, miR-122 is enriched in liver cells where it has been implicated as a regulator of fatty-acid metabolism in mouse studies. The hairpin precursors (represented here) are predicted based on base pairing and cross-species conservation -- their extents are not known.
Source: miRBase by way of RNAcentral
GAGUUUCCUUAGCAGAGCUGUGGAGUGUGACAAUGGUGUUUGUGUCUAAACUAUCAAACGCCAUUAUCACACUAAAUAGCUACUGCUAGGCAAUCCUUCCCUCGAUAAA